Molecule: ribosomal RNA, 248 nt
Filed under: uncultured bacterium
Lineage: Bacteria
Description: partial 16S ribosomal RNA
Rfam family: Bacterial small subunit ribosomal RNA
Source: RNAcentral
AUACGUAGGUGGCGAAGCGUUGUCCGGAAUUAUUGGGCGUAAAGGAUGCGUAGGUGGAUAUUUAAGUGGGAUGUGAAAUCCCCGGGCUCAACCCGGGAACUGCAUUCCAAACUGGGUAUCUAGAGUGCAGGAGAGGAAAGCGGAAUUCCUAGUGUAGCGGUGAAAUGCGUAGAUAUUAGGAGGAACACCAGUGGCGAAGGCGGCUUUCUGGACUGUAACUGACACUGAGGCAUGAAAGCGUGGGUAGC